Molecule: long non-coding RNA, 1240 nt
Filed under: Capsella grandiflora
Lineage: Eukaryota; Viridiplantae; Streptophyta; Magnoliopsida; Brassicales; Brassicaceae
Description: long non-coding RNA (CGRA_LNC000987)
Source: RNAcentral
UUUUUAUAGACAUAUUACCGAUGAAUUUUGAUAGAUAGGCUAUAACAAAGGGGUGUUAUUGGUUUGUGUAUUUAGAUAGAUUUAAGAUGCCAAAUUUUCUCUUAAUGGAUUAGUGAUUACUCAACGUCUUAUUAUAGUUGGUAUCAGUAUUUAAUUUAGUAGGCCUUUUGAAUUGAUUAAGCAAUAUGACUUUAGAUAGGUAAAAACGAUACGAAUGCGUAAAUGUAUAUUUUUAGUAGAAAUUGGUUAGAUAUAUAGAAGAAUGCAAUUGAAUCUCCGGAGGGUUGGAUCUUUAAUUGGCUGAAGGUAAACAUUAAAUUCAUCCACAACUAACACUAACACUCGUGUCCUAGCAAUCACUCCUCCUCAACUGCCAACCCCAAACUCAUUCCAUGUAUAAAUAACCUCUCAAUUCUCUAACCCUAACCACAACACACACCACAACAACAAACAAUUUAAACAAAAACAAAAACAAAACAGAAAGUAACAUGAGAUCUCUCUUACUAGCCGUGUGCCUGGUUCUUGCUUUGCACUUUGGUGAAGCAGCCGUUUCCUGCAACACUGCGGUUGCGGAGCUUUACCCUUGCAUCUCCUACGUGCUUCAGGGAGGUAACCCCCCAGACAGCUGCUGCAGCGGUCUCCGAACGCUCAGCAGUCAGGCUCAAACCCCUCCGGACCGUCAGAGCGUCUGCCGUUGCAUCAAAUCUGCCAUAGGAGGAGUCUCUUACACUUCUAACAACCUCAACAAUGCUUUGGCUUUGCCUUCUAAAUGCGGAAUCAAUCUUCCUUACAAGUUCAGCCCUUCCACCAACUGCGACAGGUAAACAAUAACACACAUCUCGCUCUCUCUCUGAUUAAUUAAUGAUCUCAUUACAAUAAUCUAACUAAACCAAGUUAAUUCAUCUUUAAUUUCUCUUUUACAGUAUUCACUGAGACAAGCAGAAAAUUCAUAAAAAAGAAGCUACUACUGCGAGAGCUAAGAACCCAAUAAUAAAUGAGGACAUGGUUUGCUAGUUGCUAAUUUUAAUCAGUGAUGUAUCUUUCGUCAUCUCGAAUCUUUUUAAUAUAUUAUCAACAUCCUAUAAUGUUCUACCAAAAUUAUCUCGAAAAAUUUCUCCACAUAUGCUCAAAUCCUUACACGACAUACAGUUCACUGCGAACUGAACUAGCUUUCCAUAAAUGAAACUCUGAAUCAGAACAUGAUGUAAAACCGAGCUACAACCUAUUAUUUAUGUUUUUG